AGGUUUCAUAACUCAUUAGCAUCAAAAUGCAAAAAUGCUUUAAGGCAAGAUAAAUUGGUCAGUAUAGCCCUGCAGUUGCUUGUCCCAGCUAGCCUGCCGAUCAAUGGCAGAUGCAAAGGCAAUAGCAGAUUUGUUCUUUUUCUGUCCUAUAAACAGUAUUUCUGAAGGCACGACUGCUGGCAUCACUGCACUGGUGAUGCUGGGGGCUGCUCCCGGUGCCCUGCGAGCAGUGUGCUCUGGCUGGGGGGAGCAGCCCAUCCUGCCUGCAGAUGUGCUCCCUCCUGCUAGUGCCCAUCCAUUGCUGCAGCUUCUUUCAUGCAGGCAGUGCACACAGCAUCCACCCUGAAUUAUUGAUGGGACUGCUUUAUCAUUUGGACAUCUUCUCAACAGGGUGCAAGGUCAAGCCGAUAAAAUCACUGCACAGCAGCACCACAGCCUGCCUCACAACUCGUCUUGUGGAUGGAGACCUACAAACAGACAUAUCAGCAUGGAAGAUUCAAGGGAGGGUUGAAGCAGUAGAGAAAUUCCCUGUCGGUGUAGCUGCAGCCCUGCAGAGCACACAGGGCAGCACAGCCGGAGCAGCCGGGGCUCGUGCUGAGCAGCACCAUGAGUGGAAAUUCCAGAAUGGGCUCACAGCAGGCAAGGUUACUGCCCCAAGUUAUUGCUGGCUGUGGGCUGCAGGAUCAUCCCACAGAACUUUAUGGGUAAAACCACUGUGAAGGUCUGCAGGAGACACAGAAAAUCAUCCAUCUGUAGCAGACUGGGGUAACCUCCCGUCAACCCCACCUGGAAGGAUGCUCCUUCAACUGCCGCUUGGCCAACUGUGACAUCGCCAAACUGCUCCACACAGAUGACUCAGGACAAAUGACAAGAGCAAACUUUUGUAUUCUAUAGUGCUUUCAUUCAGCUGAUGAAAAUCUCUUGCAUAAUGUGAAGAUAAACUUGGAACUUCAUGGAGAGAUUUGUCUGGCUAAGAGACAUCCUACCAAUUGGGAGAUGUUGUAUUUGGGAGAGAAAAUGUUGCAUGAAACCUAUCACACCUGUGGCAAGUGAUGUCAAAUGUGAUAUGCACAGGCACAAUCCUUUCUGUCCUGCUUUAUGUGGUAUUGUUAGACAAGUAUGUAGAUAUGUUUAGCUGAGAGGGAUUCUGAAGUGUCCAAUGAAAGCUGCUUAUGGUCCUGAAGACUCUACACCCGCUGAGCCCCUGACCGUGGGCAUUAACUCCUCCUCUGCCCACUCCAGCACUGUCUUUCUCGGCUGUGAGGACUGAUAAAACAGUGACACAGUACUUGGAUGUAGAUUUACUACCUACUUCACUUCCUACAGUGACUCUGUCCUUAGGACAUACUGCCAUUUAAAACAAAAACAAAAUACAACACAGAUUAAAAAAAAUAAUAAUUAAACUCAAAAUAAAGAAGAAACAUAAUACA
RNAcentral lists this long non-coding RNA (1430 nucleotides) under Anser brachyrhynchus (Pink-footed goose). RNAcentral's name for it is "lncRNA (ENSABRG00000023095.1)". The record is from RNAcentral. Lineage: Eukaryota; Metazoa; Chordata; Aves; Anseriformes; Anatidae.